GAAAUGAAAACCUGCUCAGAUCUUUGUUCCCAUAUUUCCAUCGUUCAGCAGAAGAAACUUCCCGCAGUGAAGCAUCAUGUCCUCAGAGAAGCCUGGAGAGUGGAGUGAAGAGCUGCUGCCACUGAGGCAGAACAGAAAAUCUGUGAUGAGGUGAAGCCUGAAGACCUGAAGCCUGAAAUGUACAAAGCCUUUGCUUACAGAAGAUCAGACCUGUGUGGAGGAGGACAAUACGACAUCAAGGUGUAUCUAGGAGGUGAUCAGGGUCUUCGUCUGAUCAUUGGCUAUGCACUUUAUCCUAAUGGUGACUUUCAGCAUUACAAACUGGAGAGUAAACAGCCCUUCGACAUCGUCUAUGGGAGCAACUGAACAACACAGAGCUGACUAACAUGAUCUGAUCGAUCUUGAUGUUCAAUAAACGUGAUUAUUGAUUAAAAGA
Colossoma macropomum (tambaqui) is the source of this 436-nucleotide long non-coding RNA. RefSeq lists it as uncharacterized. The record is from RefSeq and is a predicted model, not a curated record. The transcript is spliced from 3 exons. NCBI's taxonomy places the organism in Eukaryota, Metazoa, Chordata, Actinopteri, Characiformes, Serrasalmidae.